RNAcentral lists this ribosomal RNA (504 nucleotides) under uncultured bacterium. Its description in RNAcentral is "partial 16S ribosomal RNA". It matches the Rfam family "Bacterial small subunit ribosomal RNA", at positions 30 to 523 of the family's 1533-position model. The record is from RNAcentral.
AUUGAACGCUGGCGGCAUGUCUUACACAUGCAAGUCGAACGGCAGCAUGGAGAGCUUGCUCUCUGAUGGCGAGUGGCGAACGGGUGAGUAAAGCAUCGGAACGUACCGUGUAGUGGGGGAUAACGUAGCGAAAGUUACGCUAAUACCGCAUACGCACUGAGGUGGAAAGCAGGGGAUCGCAAGACCUUGCGCUAUACGAGCGGCCGAUGUCAGAUUAGCUAGUUGGUAGGGUAAAGGCCUACCAAGGCGACGAUCUGUAGCGGGUCGGAGAGGAUGAUCCGCAACACUGGGACUGAGACACGGCCCAGACUCCUACGGGAGGCAGCGGUGGGGAAUUUUGGACAAUGGGGGCAACCCUGAUCCAGCCAUGCAGCGUGAGUGAAGAAGGCCUUCGGGUUGUAAAGCUCUUUCGGCCGGGAAGAAAUCGCACAGGCUAAUACUCUGUGUGGAUGACGGUACCGGCAUAAGAAGCACCGGCUAACUACGUGCCAGCAGCCGCGGUAA